This 253-nucleotide ribosomal RNA is filed under the name uncultured bacterium. RNAcentral describes it as "partial 16S ribosomal RNA". It matches the Rfam family "Bacterial small subunit ribosomal RNA", at positions 524 to 776 of the family's 1533-position model. The record is from RNAcentral.
UACGGAGGGUGCAAGCGUUAUCCGGAUUUACUGGGCUUAAAGGGUGCGUAGGUGGGCAGGUAAGUCAGUGGUGAAAUCUUCGAGCUUAACUCGGAAACUGCCAUUGAUACUGUCUGUCUUGAAUUUCCUGGAGGUAAGCGGAAUAUGUCAUGUAGCGGUGAAAUGCUUAGAUAUGACAUAGAACACCAAUUGCGAAGGCAGCUUACUACGGGAAUAUUGACACUGAGGCACGAAAGCGUGGGGAUCAAACAGG